CCAGGAGACAACGGCAUAAAUUGCCUAAGGCACACUCUGUUACUUUGAGCCUUACCCAGUAGAUACAUUUCAAAACUAAUGACAUUUAAAUCACUGAUGUUCCAGAGAAAGGACUAUGAACUCUGCUGCUUUGUGUAAGGGAGGAAGAAGGGGACAAAAUGGCAGGGCUGAGCCAGUGGUCCAGGGGACCAUCCUUGAGUCGUGCCAUGAUGACAGGCAAGGAGACAGCUCAUACGGGCAGAUCUCAAAGACCAUGACACAGGGGGUUCAGAACCAGGAAUGCGGAGAAUACAGCUGAGGUGGAAAGGAGAUGCUUGGAGUCCAUAUUGGCCAGCGGGAAUGGCAGCUCACUGUGACUGCUGAGAGCAGAGCUCUGCAUCCUGGUGAAUAAGGUUGUCCUCUGUAGGGCUGGGCUCCUUCCUCUUCUGAGGAAGGAAGGCAGGAGAAGCCAGGGCCUUUUGCUGGCUUGAAAGACAGUAUGCAAAAUUUCAGGUGAAAUAGUUGAAAUCGAAAGGAUUUUGCUUGCUUAUAAUUUCUUGUUUAUUUCUAGCCUUCUGUGUUUUUGAAAAUUGGCGUUUUUUUCAGAGCAUUAGAAAUUAGUAAUUCCAGCUUUCUGGUCGCUCUCCAACUUUCCAUCAGCCACCCUUCUCUGAGCAGGCCAGCAGACUCACUCGCGCAUGGAGGUAGCAAGUGAAGAUAAAAUGUCCCCGUGCAGCCUAAGUAGCAUUGUGGGGCUGCUUUACAAGGAGCAAGUGAGAGUCCCUGAUCGAGCAGAAGAGAAUCAGGUCCCACACCUAUAGCUAGGGAGCCACACUCCAUGCUAGGAGAAACUAAGGAUGCAUUCAAAAGGACCUGACCAUACCUCAUCCUUCUAUGUUAUCAGGAAAAGUGUAGCCAAUUCUCUCUGGUGACCAGAGAAACACAGGUCCUUUCUGUUUGCACAUUAUUCUGUUUUUGGCGCGUGUUACAAUUUCAUUUAAUUCUAUUUUAAACAGGUAGUCUGACAUUCCUUUUCCUGCCGGAGUUCCAUAUUUGGACAGAAAUAGCCCACAACACAGUAGUGUAACACAUAGUCGUGGGGUGGGACAUACAGAUGAGAUGAUUUCCAGGUGAAGGAUGUUGGUGCAGAAAUUUGAAAUGUCCUCAUAAGGGACAAGGGCUCUGAAACUACAGUUUCCACAGAAUAUUUAACAAUCCAUGCUCUGAGACUGAAUAAUUAAAUUAAAAAAAAAGUUUUUUUUUUUUAAAUAACUUAAGGCUAGUGUGGGUCAAAACUUGGCAUUUUCUUUCUGUGGGAAAUCCUGACAUUUUCAGACAGUUUUCUUUCUGGAUUGGAAUUAAACUUAAAAAAGUUUUACCUUUCCUGUGGAAAUGAAAUUCUGAAAAUAUUUUGUUCUGGGAAGCUCAGAACAUUUUUUUUUCUUCACUUUUUCUGAAACCAAACGCAGCAGACAUAUGCUCACUGUGGGGGGAUUGUCUUCUCAGGUGGCAGCCAAGUCUGAAGUGCAAUGGUGUCAGAUGUGACCCCACAGCAUCCCCUGGACUGCUCCUGUGAUGUGUGGUGCAUAAGAACCCCUCAGUCUAGUUUUUUCUUGGGCCUCCACCCCUGCUAUGUGUCCUGCAUUGCAGCAGAGCCUGGGAGCUGUGGCUCUUGAUCCAGAGUUGUGCUGCCCAUCAGGUGCUGCCAGGGGACACUGAGCCUGCAAGACUGCCAAGAAAGCUUCAGUCUGGAGAUGGUAAAAGUUUCCAGAAUCAAAAAUAUUUUCAUGAAACGUUGAUUUUGACAUAUCAUCAUUAAGCAAUAGGACAAAAGGAAACUGCCUCAAGUUGCACCAGGGGAGGUUUAGAUUGGAUAUUAGGAAAAAUUUCUUCACUGAAAGGGUGGUCAAGCAUUGGAACAGGCUGCCCAGUUAGGUGGCGGAAUCACUAUCCCUGGAAGUGUUUAAAAAACAUGUAGAUGCGGUGCUUAGGGAUGUGGUUUAGUGGUGGACUUGGCAGUCCUGGGUUAACAGUUGGACUUGAUAAUAUUAAAGGUCUUUUCCAACCUUUUCUAUGAUUCUAUGAUCAAUCAAUUACCAAUUCCUGACUAGUUAGGAACUAUGUUGGUUUGGUGGGCAGUGAAGCACAUCAUGGGUCUUGAGCUCUCGUAGUGGUUCUCAUACCAGUCACCAGUGGGAGAAGGGAGAUAUUUCAAAGAGACUAAUCCAUGCAGGAAGUAAGAAUGAGCUUCAAAAGUCUGAGAUGAUCCUAUAUAUGAGCCCAGGGAAUGUCACUGAGGGAAGUAUGAGCGUGCAGCUCAUAUGGGACGGGAGAAGGGGUUAAGAUCUAAAACAUAGUCUGGGGCAGCCACAUUAGCAUGUAGGUUAUUUAUGCUGGUUAGGCAUCUACAACUUUUCACUGUUCUAGAACUCACCUCCUUUUGAAAAUGGGAUUUGGACUCAUAAGUUAUCUGGGCAGUUUUAAUAGUUUUAUCUCAAAUUAAUAACUCUUCCAGGAGUAACUUUGGUAUUUGCACAUUCCCUGUUUUACAGUGGAUAUUAUUUAUCCCCACAUGUCAGUUCACAAGGACAGACCAUUCAGCAAAAGAUGUGGCUUAUUAUAUAGCAGUGAUGGAUGGUUUCUUUAUAGAAACCACUUGCAUGUGAGAGAACAACUGUUGUGUAUUAAAUAGGUUCUCUGUAUUGUGCAUAGAGUUCAUACCUGCAAUUGAAGUAAAAAUCCAAAGGGAGAGGGAAAGAACAAGCAACCUCAUGAAAUUACAUGAGAUACCCACAUAAAUACCAAAGAAUACACCAUGUUUUUUGUUAUUACAGUUAUCACCUAUGGAAGUCAUGAUGAUGUGGUGCCUGAGAAAGUUGGCAAAUGGGUUGGUGUGCCUGGGACUUUUUGUUUCUGCUCCAUGUGCCUGGGACUUUUUGUUCCUGUACUAAAGAAGGUGGAUGAAAACUCUGCAUAUUGAGAAGCUAGUUAUUCAUAAAGCAUUAAUAGCUGGAGAGGUGCCAGAUCAUUAUUGUUUUUUCUGGAAAGGGUAUUAGGUAUUAUUCAACAAGAUAAGAUUUUCUUUCCAUGUGUCCAUACCAGCUCAAUAUUGGAAGAUGAAACACAUACCUAGGGGAUUACAUGCCCAGAAAACACCUUUUCCAGGAAAAUGAGAUGAGUGAAUCACUUCAGACAAAAAUGUGUUGAAAUGUUAAACAAGUGCUCUCUUGAUUUAAUGUUCUUGUUAAUUGUAAAAAAAGCUCUAUGAAAAUGGAGACAAGUUGAGACUGAUAUUGCUUUAUAGAACUAUUAUUUUUAAGGGAAACAAUGAAACUGGGCAUAUGACCUCCAACUAUUCUGAAAA
Molecule: long non-coding RNA, 3343 nt
Organism: Falco tinnunculus (common kestrel)
Lineage: Eukaryota; Metazoa; Chordata; Aves; Falconiformes; Falconidae
Source: Ensembl